GAUGAACGCUAGCGGCAGGCUUAAUACAUGCAAGUCGAGGGGCAGCACGGUUAGCAAUAACUGGUGGCGACCGGCGCACGGAUGCGUAACACGUAUACAAUCUACCUUAAACAGGGGGAUAGCCUUUCGAAAGAGAGAUUAAUACCCCGUAAUAAAUUGAACGGCAUCGUUUGAUUUUGAAAGCUCCGGCGGUUUGAGAUGAGUAUGCGUCUGAUUAGCUAGUUGGUGAGGUAAACGGCUCACCAAGGCGACGAUCAUAGGGGGAUCUGAGAGGAUAACCCCCACACUGGUACUGAGACACGGACCAGACUCCUACGGGAGGCAGCAGUAAGGAAUAUUGGUCAAUGGAGGCAACUCUGAACCAGCCAUGCCGCGUGCAGGAUGACGGCCCUAUGGGUUAGUAAACUGCUUUUAUACAAGAGAAAACCCUGGUACGUGUACCAGGUUGAUAGUA
This 454-nucleotide ribosomal RNA is filed under the name uncultured bacterium. RNAcentral describes it as "bacterial SSU rRNA". It matches the Rfam family "Bacterial small subunit ribosomal RNA", at positions 28 to 477 of the family's 1533-position model. The record is from RNAcentral.